UCUCCUUAUUCUUUCUUCCAACCUCUUCUCCUCCACAAUUUUCCAGAUCUAUCGCUCAAUUCCCUAGUCUCUUCUCCUAUUCGUUCUCCAAACUCUUCUCUUCCCACAUCUCCCUAAACUCCCCAGAUCUACAGCUCUCCUCCUCCCACAUCUACCUCAACUCUCCAGAUCUAUAUCUCAAUUCUUAGUCUCUUCUCCUAUUCUUUCGCCAAACUCUUCUCUAUCUCAACUCUCCAGAGCUAUAUUUCCAUUCUUAGUCUCUUCUCCUGUUCUUUCUCCAAACUCUUCUCUUCCCACAUCUCCCUCAACUACCCAGAUCUACAGCUCAAUUGUUUGUCUCUUCUCCUGGUUCUUUUUCCAAUUCUUCUCUCCCACAAUUUUCCAGAUCUAUCACUCAAUAUCUAGAGUCUCUUCUUCUAUUCUUUCUUCAAACUCUUCUCUUCUCCUAUUAUUGACUUCAGACCUCAGCCUCAAUUCUUAUUAUCUUUUCAUAUUCACUCUCCAAAUUAUUUCUUGAGACCUUCACCUCAAUUCUUAGUUUCUUCUUCUAUUGUUUCUCCUAAUUAUUCUCUUCAGACCUCUACUUUGAUUCUUAGUCUCCACGUCUCUACCUCAAAUCUUAGAGUCUCUUCUUCACUCUCCAAACUCUUCUUUUUGGACCUCUACCUCAAUUCUUAGAGUCUUGUUCUAUUCUUUCUCCAAAUUAUUCUCUUUGACAUCUACCUCGACUCUUUAGAUCUAUAUCUCCAUUCUUAGAGUCUUUUCUCUUCUUCACUCUCCAAAUUAUUCUCUUCAGACCUCUAUUUCUAUUCUUAGAGUCUCUUCUUCAAUCUCCAAACUCUUCUCUUUGGACCUCUACUUCAGUUAUUAGAGCCUCAUCUCUUAUUUUUCCUCCAGAUUAUUAUCUUCAGACCUCUACCUCAACUCUUAGAUUCUCUUCUUCACUAUCUAAUAUAGUUUCUUUGGACCUCUGUCUUAGUUCUUAGAGUUUCUUCUCCUAUUUUUUCUUCAAAUUAUUAAUUUCCAACAUCUACCUCAACUCUCCAUAUCUAUACCUCUGUUCUUAGAACCUCUUUUCUUAUUCUUUCUCCAAAUUAUUCUCUUCAGACCUUUACUUCAAUUCUUAGAGUUCUCUUCUUCACUCUCCAAACUCUCUCUUUCAACCUCUACCUCAAUUCUUAGAGUUUCUUCUCCUAUUCGUUCUCCAAAUUAUUCUCUUCUGACAUCUACCUCAGCUUUCCAGAUCUAUAUCUUCCCCAUUCUCCACAUCUGUUCUCUUAGGCCCCUUCUACACAGCUGCAUAAAAUCCACAUUAUCUGCUUUAAACUGGAUUAUAUGACAGUGUAAAUAAACAUAAUCCAAGUCAAAUCAGACAAUGUGGAUUUUCUGCUUUGAUAACCUGGUUUAUUUGGCAGUGUACAAGGGGCCAUAAUGAUUCUCUAAAAUAUUCUCUUCGGGCAUCUGCCUCAACUCUCUAGAUAUAUACCUCAAUUCUCGAGGUCUCUUCUCCUACUUAUUCCCCAGAUUUUUGUCUUUAGACCUCUAUCUCUAUUCGUUGAGCAUCUUCUCUUAUUCAAUCUCCAAAUUAUUCCUCUUCAGACCUCUACUUCAAGUCUUAGGCUCCUUCCACACAGCUGGAUAAAAUUCACAUUGAACUGAAUUAUAUGGAAGUGUGGACUCAGAUAACCCAGUUCAAAGCAGAUAUUGUGGAUUAUCUAAAUUGAUAUUCUGGAUUAUAUGGCUGUGUGGAAGGGCCAUCUGAGUCUCUUCUCGUCUUCAUUCUGAAAAUGAUUCUCUUCAGACCACUAUCUCAGCUCUUCAGAUCUAUGUCUCCAUUCUCCACCUCUCAGGCCUCUUCUACACUGCCAUAUAAAAUCCAGAUUAUCUGCUUUGAACUGGAUUAUAUGGGAGCGUAGAGUCAUAUAAUCCAGUUCAAAAACAUAAUGUGGAUUAUCUGAUUUGAUAAUCUGGAUUAUAUGGCAGUGUAGAAGGGGCCUUAGUGAUUCUCCGAAAUAUUCUCUUCAGGCGUCUACCUCAACCAUCCAGAUAUAUACAGUAGAGUUUCACUUAUCCAACACUCACUUAUCCAACGUUCUGGAUUAUCCAAUGCAUUUUUGUAGUCAAUGUUAUCAAUACAUCAUGAUAUUUUGUUGCUAAAUUCGUAAAUACAGUAAUUACUACAUAGCAUUACUGCGUAUUGAAGUAUUUUUUCUGUCAAAUUUGUUGUAUAACAUGAUGUUUUGGUGCUUAAUUUGUAAACAUUUGAUGUUUAAUAGGCUUUUCUUUAAUCUCUCCUUAUUAUCCAACAUAUUUGCUUAUCCAACAUUCUGCCGGCCCGUUUAUGUUGGAUAAGUGAGACUCUACUGUACCUCAAUUGUCCAGGUCUUUUCUCUUAUUCAUU
This 2401-nucleotide long non-coding RNA is filed under the name Anolis carolinensis (green anole). RNAcentral's name for it is "lncRNA (ENSACAG00000044375.1)". Lineage: Eukaryota; Metazoa; Chordata; Lepidosauria; Squamata; Anolidae. The record is from RNAcentral.